Molecule: long non-coding RNA, 12446 nt
Organism: Apis cerana (Asiatic honeybee)
Lineage: Eukaryota; Metazoa; Arthropoda; Insecta; Hymenoptera; Apidae
Source: RefSeq, a predicted model, not a curated record
AACAAUUUAACGAUAUAUUUCUAGCUAUCGAAAUAAAUCGAUCAUUCAGUCGAUAUGAUAGAAAGAUGGCGAAGAGGUUAUGUAGUUUCGUCUAUGAUCCUGUUGAAACAUUUGGCUGUUAUGUUUCAUGAUUUUUUUACCCAUAAAAUUGUUUUAACGAAAGAUUAUUCUAUUCUCUGUAAUUAGUGGUGUUAUUAUACAAUUAAAAUUUUUUGCAAUUUAUAAUGUAGCCAUAUUAAUUUGCAAAAAAAAGAAUAUUGAGAGAAAAUAUUAAAUAUUAGUUAAGAAGCAUGUAUUCAAAAAAUAAUUAUUACACUACAUUACACUAUAUUAUUAAAGCUGCCAUAAGAAUAAUUUAGUUUUGCAUUGAAUUGCUUGACUGCACUCAAAGAAUGAAUACGAAAAUUCUCCCUUUUCAAUAUUCAAACUUAUAUACAAUGUUUUGUUUCUGACAAAAGUGUUCACAAAUCGAUACCAAAUGGUUACAAAGGUAUGUAUUUACUUUAAUAAGAGAACAAAUAUGUAAUAUAUCAACAAGGGCGCGUAUAGGUAGAAAACUGAAUCUAUGCCAAUAACGAUAUAGAAUCAUGAAUGGUGCUGUUGUAAAUGAUAUCGAAACGCAACCCUCUGUUUCCGUUUUGUCCAAUAAUAGAUUUCCCCCAUUCUGCGGUUUCCCUUUAUUCGCAUGAAGAUUAAAUUACAUGGUUGUUCGACAUGGUUAUGAAAUUGAAUAUAACGAAUAAUGAACUGAACGAAGAAAAAGAGAAGAGCGAGAGAAGUUUAAUGGCGUUGAUGAGACAAGGACAGUGACCAGGGAAAGACGGUGAAUGAAGGAACGUGUGAAAGAGAUUAUCGGAUAUGUGGCACAAGUACAAUCGCCGCUGACUUCAUGGAUCGCGGUUUAGAAAUCGUUUAAGGUUACCUAGGAUUCGCAUCGGUUCAAUAUACGUAAUAAACGAUACGAAACAAUUUUAUAUUAAGGUAGUCGAAGUAGCCGCUAUCAAAGCGGUACUCUUACUGACGCCCUUUCCAAGAGACAAAGAAUUUGUCCGAUAGCGACUCGUGAUCGGUAGACAUACUCGUGUUGCCAACUGCAGGUCCGUCACGGUGGAGGGGAGGAAAACGACAUUGUAAGGCCCAACUGGCAAGGCAUGUUCCUUACAUUCAACCGCGUUCAGCUGUAUGUACGCGGACAGGAUCUAGCCAGCUGCGGCCUUCUUCGACCUUCCCCCCACCAGACCGGAAUCGAGCCUUCUGGCCAACUAUACAAACCGGUACCCCAGCGUUCUAACAAGGAACAUCCGCGAAGACUCCGCCUUCGAUCUUGAUGGUGAUAGUUAAAUGAAAGACAAUUAUGCCAUAUGGAAUGCAGUGGAGAAUUAGCAGAAUAAGUGGAACAUAAAAAUAAACGAUUAAAGAGAGAAAGAGAAACAGUUAGUUGAUUGAUUCUGAAUCGUUCAUAGACAAAAAAAUCCUUGAAUUGAAUUCAAUACAAUUGAAAUUCAGUACAAAAAAAGUUGAGUAUAAAUAAUCAUUGUCUAUUUUUAUUAUGAUUGUUUAAAAAUAAAGAUAAAAAAUUCAUAUAUCUAUAAAUAUCAUUUUGAUAUUCUGAUAAAUAUUAUCAGAUUUGAGUAGUAUUAUCAGAUUUAAAAAUAUUUAAUAUUGAUUCUCUUCCGAAUUUUUAAUGCUUUAAUCAGUUCCUUCAUCGUCAUAUCUUGUCUAAGCGACACAAUUUCGACCAGUGGCUUUACCCUUUGAGUUCAUAUCUAUUAUGGGCAUUCAAAAGAUUCGUAGAACGAUUUGAAUUUUUAAUUCAGCCCGCAUAGUUCAAGAGUUCACAUCUGUUCCCUAUUUUCCUUGACUAGAAAAUUCCAGCUGACAAUCAGAUAAAUGGCUCUUGUCUUCACAGAAAGAAGGAAACGUCAAGAAGAGAAGGAUGAUAAUGAUGGUUUGAAUUUCGAAUAUAAGGAUUCUUUUAUUUAAAAUUCGCAACAGAUAUCGAGGAAGAUCACAUUAUAAAGUUAUAUUAAUGAUAAAAGGCAUAAGAAAUAAUUUUUUAAAGAAAUUCUAAGCUACAUAAGGAUAAUUGAAAAGAACUUCCAUAUGUGUACAUGAAUUACAAAUUAUAAAAUUAAAUAUUUCAUUAUAAGAAAAAAAAGAUAUCCUGAAUCAAAAGAAAUUUUUCAUUUGGAAAAUUAUUCGUUUUCUAUUUGGAUCUAAUAUGAAGAAAUAUGGUGGUGCAGACCAUUGCAUUUUUCAACAAUAUCAAUUCAGGCCACUUUUACGAUGAAAUAUCGAACACUAAUGUAAUUGACCAGAUGCUGACUUAUCAGAACCGCCAGCACACAGAAUAUCUCAAUGCAACCGGAACUCAGAAAAACCGUCCUCUCAUCGGCAUCUUUUUAUCAUCUCGAUCUAUUCUAAACCAACUCGAUUACAUGUCGAUAAACUGAAAUAGAGCGAUUCGAACGAGAAUUUAAUGAUUCACCAUCGUUUUUUUAAAUAAAAAACAAAGUAGAAAGUUGUCAAACAUGUUACAAGUUAUCAAACUACAAUCCAUAUUUGCACGUUUUUGUAAUCACGAGGGAAAUCGCGAUUACGUAGGUUCAGUGGUAGGUACACGUUUCCAUGACGUUAGUCCAGUUUUGCAUCCGGCACAGGUACAUACUGGGGAAAGGUCGAGCUACCGACCUGAAUAUGUUGAUGGUUACGCAAUAAUUCGUGCACUGAAUAUACUUUUUAUACUUUAAUUUAAAUUGAUCAACUUGGAAUCAACAAUAAUAUUGGAUGGAGAUAAUUAUAUAGAAAGGAAUAUUUUAAAAUAUUUUAUUUUAAGAAAAAAAUUCUGAAUUAUGAGUUAUAAGAGAACGAAUGUCUCUUGAAGGAGAAAAAUAAAUUUUCUUUGUAUUGCAAUCGAUCGAUAUUCGAUGAUGAAGUAAUUUUUGAAGCGAAUAAAAUUAUUUCACAAGUAUUGGAUAUUAUAUAUUUAUUAAAAAAUUUAGAUAUAAUCAAUAUUCCUCGCAAAUAACAUAUAUUGCAAAACAUCUUAAAAAAAAAAUAUGAAACAAAUUUUUAAUAUAUUCCAUUUUCUAUAUAAACUUUAAAUAAUAAAAAAUUUCUUGAUACAAACAUACAAAGAUGACGUACAAUAUUAGAAGUAUAUAAGUUUUAAUACACGCUUUAGAAAUAAAAAUAAAUUUUCUUCUUUCAUCACAAUAUAACAUGAAAUCAAUAAAAAUUCAUCCCAGAUCGAUAUUGAACAGGGUAGACAGCACGUAGAGCGUUCAGCUCGAACAAAGAAGGAUUUUUCGAGGCGCCGAUGCGAGCAGCACCUGGAGAGGCUACGUGAGGGACCAUUCGGAGGAUAGGAGCGGCCCAGCGAAUAAUAUUGGGAAGUCUGCAGCUGUCACAGCAGCUGCAACCCUCCUCGCUUGGCUCACAAUCUGACCGGCAGCUUUUCUGCCUCCUCCUCAUCCUCUUCACCCACCUCUGCCACCUUCUCCUCUCGUAUGCCAUUACCUCGUUCUCAUGGUCUAACUUCUGCCUCGUGUUCUCAUUCCGGUCCUUCCAGAAUUGAGGUAAAAACCAUCUUAUGGAGACCAUUAUUGGUUUAAUCCUUUAGUUUUAGUUUUAAUCUUGUCAAUUUCUUGGGAGGAAAUUCUUUGAAAAAUUUUUCUACUUUUUUUCUUCAGCUUGAUUAUCUUUUUCAGGUAAUAGUGCCAGAAAAUUGUGGAAUUUAAAAGAAUUUAUGUAAGAUGGAAGGAAAAUUAUAUAUGCACCCUUCUAAUGAUACGUGAUGAUAAUGAUAUUCUAAUGAUAUAAUGUUUUGAAUAUUGACAAUAAAUGAAAAUGUUUGGAAAUAAGAUAAUCAGUCUUUACAUAUAUGUAUUUAUGAAAGAUAAGCUUUAUAAGAUAAGAAGCACAUUAUAUAAUAAGAAUUUAUAAUGAUUCUUAGUUUUCUUUUAUUUUUUUAAUAUAUUAAUUCAUAAUAACAUAUGUUGGAUAAAUGAAAGUAUCAUAUAAUUUUGAAUUUUUCUUAAUAUGUCUACAAUGAAAAGUGAAAGAAAACAUUUCGUUUGAAAAGUUUAAUCAAAGAAAAUUCAGUGUAUAUUACUUCAUAUAUAAUACAUAUAAACAAACAUAAGCAAAUACGCAAUUCGUUUCAAAAAUCUACAACAAUCAAUGAAAAGAAAAUGAAAAAUAAAAAUAAUCGUAAAUCUUCGAAUUUAAAAGGAACAACAAUAUUCUCACAAAUGAUUUAGAAAAAAAAGAAAAAGGGUGCCCAUUUCCCGUGUCAAAUAAGCAUCCCUUAAAACAUGAAAUGAAAGUAUGCAUUGAGAAAAUGAACAUUAAUGAAGUGGUUUCUCAAAUAGGGGGGCCCCUUUCCUUCCUGCGCCAACAUGUGGGUGUAUAUCUAGACCGUACCUAGCUCCACGGAGCAAUCAACCCCCUUUUUUGAAGCCAACCACCGAGACCAUCCUCUUGCACGAGGAAUGCGCGGUGUAGGUCAGCUGCUCCUUCUGUAAAACUAAACUUCCUGCGUCCACGUGCACAUCUGCUCCCUUUCAGGCACCUGGAAGGGGAAAUCUCGUGGUCCUGGAUGAGUAUACGUAGUCACGUAUCACGUGUAUCCCGAGGGUUCUUCGCGACUCGAUGGUGUACAUGUAUAAUGACGGAGGAACAUAAAUAUUCUCGUCGUUAAUUGCAGGUAUGGAAGAUUUAUUCUUUGUUUCGUGUUCUCCGGUAUUUAUGGGGAACAAUAAUGGAUUGGUAUUGUUACGUCACAUUGACACAUCGUCUAUAAGAAGUUUUUAUUGAGAUUUUUAUACGGUUUUUACAUUUGAAUAUUGUUUCGUAUAUCAUAAUGUGUAAGUUCUUGAAUGGUGUUUCCUGACUCUUUGAAUGAUCAGAAGUCUUUAAAUGAAUAUUUUCUAUUUUUAGAGGAGAUUUUUAUGAAUGUAUGAGGAAUAAAUUGUGAUAAUAUUGAUUUUUAUAACAGCCAAAUUGAAAAGUUGAUUCUUAGAAAGAUAUGUGGAAAUGAAAUAGACAGUAUGUAUGCGGAUUAAAGUAUUAUUGAAAUAGUUUAACGAAACAAAAGUUUAUUUGAUAUAUCGACUAUUUUUCUUCGUUUGAACUAAGGAAUUAAUGGACUACUUAAAUGCAAAGAGGUUCAUUCUUAUUCAGUUCGAUCGAAUUUUCUUGUUAAAUGGCUUUAAUUAACUUAAGUACUUUGGAGAAAAGAUUAAACCUGAAAUCGCAUUGGAGAACGAUCAAUAAAAAUGAAGAGGAAAUUUAAUAUGAUUAUAUCAAGGUUCAUCAAUGAAAAUUUCUUCAAUUCGAGGUAACGUUGCAGCGAGCAAAAUCCUUGAGAUGUUAGAUCCCAUAUCGGGAAAGUGGCAGGAAUUCCGAGCAAACGGGACACCCUGUAUUCGCUUGGUUGUGUAAUCGGCCUUAAGGAUAAACGGACGCACACACGUUUAAGUACCAUUCGCAAGUAGGGAGGUUCGUAUCACAAAACGGCCAAGUGAAAGGAUAGGCACCAGUUCAUCUUGUGUCUCAACCUCCAACCAACCUUCUCGAAUAUAUCCAUUCGUGCUGCAAGUGCGUCAGCUAUUCGCAUAAAACAACGGUUAAUUCGAAUUCACGUCGUUCACUCGGCGAGCGAAACGAGAAACGCAGUUAUAUUAUUUCUUUGACUAUUUUUUCAGAAGGAAAAUACAUUCUGUUUAUUCGUUGCUUGUUUUACGAGGGCACGCAUAAGUUAUUACAUAAAUUUCUACUAUUCAUGGGUAAUGAACUUAAUUUGCUUUUUUUAAUUUUUCCACCGUGUAUAAUUUCAAAAGUUAAAUUAUAUUAAAUUAAAUUAAAAUUAAAUUCAAUUAUACUGGAUAUGAAUUUUAAUUCGGGAAAUUAAUUUUAUUAUCUAAGAUUAUAUAUACACGGAAAAAUUAAAAAAUUCUUUAAUCAAUUCAUAAUUUUACUUGUUCUUCAUUUUUCAAUUUUCUAUCUAUUAAUUCUACUUUAAAUUUUUUCUCUUCUUUUUCUAUUUUAUUGCUAUUAUCCAAUUCUAUAAAAUUCUUUUUUUGAUUUUUUUCGAUCAUUUAUUUUUAUCAUAUCUUUUUUUUUAUUACUCAUUUAAAAUUAAAUUUUCUAGUGAUUCACAUAGAUAUGGAUAGAAGAAUUAAAAAAAGUUACACUAAAAGAUCGUACAAAUCCACCUUCUAUGAUUCUCAACAGGAAAUUUCAGCAAGUAUUUUUCUCAAUUUACCUAACACCAGAAAAGAAUCAAGCAACAAUUUAUCAUCACACGACAUCUUUCUCUUAUUUCGAUCUUCAUCUACCAACAGUAUAAUUAAGGGUCAUGAAUAUUCGACCGCCAUUCCGUUUCCUUUUUUCCAUCGAUCUAAACCAGGAUCUCGAUCUAGUUAACUGACUAUAAUAUUUCCACGAGCAAUUCAAUUUCACGCAGAAGGAAAAGCGAAAUCUGAGUAUCAACGAUACUCUCAGAUGUUGAACAUCUUCGAAAGCGUGCACAACAUCUGUUCUCAUCAACUGUGAAAUCACCCCCAAUUUUCAACGUGGAAAGAAACCUUUCGAACUCAACUCGACUGGACAAAAUAACGAUGAAAUCACAGAGGAACGCGCCGCUUGCAUGGAUCGAGGAUGCACCUGCAUCUGGUGCAUUUUCGGAUGGAUCACUGGCCAGAUGUCUCUCAUACCCGUGUCGAGCUUUGGUACACGUUUCUGGCUGCUGUUCAAAAUUAUCCAGAAUUCGAUUAUUCUUUUUGAAGUGAAUAAUUUAACAUGGAAGAUUUUAAAUACCGUCGACUGCUUUGAUUGAGUACUGUUAUGUGAAACGUUGUAUUCGUUGAAUUGAUAAUAUGAAUAAUAAUGAGAUAACUCUGAUAAGAAGAUUUUUGGAUGAUGUGUCUGUUCAAAUUUGGAAUAAGUUGAUUAUUACGAAUCAACAUUCAUAUCUGUUGAGUGAUUAUCUUACAUAACAAUUAACAAUGCUUAUUUGUCUAUUAAAUGAAAUUAUCGAAUAAAUUCACUUUUGUCGCAAUCUGGUCACAGGAUUAACGAAAUAUAUAAUUUCAUAGAAUUUGAAAAGUUACAGAAAAUUGAGAUAAUUACUGGAGAAUAUUAUAAUUAUUAAAACAUUCUGUUAUUAAAAGAUUAUGAUAACACAAUGACAAUGGAACAUACAAAAAUCUUAAUUUAUAAUCAAAGAAAUCAAUUUUGUUUCAACAAAAUUCUAUUUUAACGUGUCCUACAAUGAAACUUUAUCUUUCAGUUCCAACUAAUUUGCAAUAAACAGGAUAUAGAAUAUCGUGACACAUCGCCCACUAUAUGAAAUAUUGAAAUAUUAAAUACCUUUAUCGAAAUACACAGCUUCAAGGACUACAAGUUUCAAACAUCGCGUGGAAUUAAUCACAAUACGCUUUCUCGCGUUAUUAUUAUUUUCUAAAAGAUCCACAAAUAACGCAUCAAUGUGCACGAUGAAAUACGUAAACAGAAAUUACAUGGAAAUUUAUUUGAUCAUUUCCAUACGAGUAACCAAUCCUUAAGAUCAAUCGACAUUGACUGGAGAAUCAAAAAGUUGUCUACGGUAAUUAUAUAUUGUUAUAAUUUAUAUGUGUAAUAGGAUAUCAUAUUGCGUCGUUUCCCUCUCUUUUUCCACGGUCUUUUUAUCGGCCAGUGGCGUGCGACCAGCACGAUCAUGCCGUGUCCGACGUCUUCCGCACAUGGAAACCAGAGUAACCAGUGCAGUGAGUAAAAAGCUGCAGCUGUCACACAGAGCGGGCAGCUGCAGCCGCGAUGCAUCGGGGACUAGCGAUGAGAGUAACACGUUUCCAAGCGGUUUUAGUAUUCACGGUGAUUUCCAAUUUUGCAUAAACUCGUCGAAGGUCUGUUAAAUGUCGCCAAAACAGGCGAAAGAAAGAUGAAGAAGUACUCCACUAAUAUCGUACUCUUCAAAGUGUUUUUUAAAUAAAAUGUUUAAAAAUUGAAUAAUAAUUUAAUAAUCAGAAGUAGCUUAUGAAUAUUUCGAGAGAGUAUUUUUUUUUAAAAAUUCCAAAGAAUCGGAAUAUUCGAAAUGAAAAAAAAAUAAAAUAGAAUAUGCGAUGUUGAAUCUACGAUCGGAGCAGGUGGUACUUGGAAUUACAGACCCUUCUCCUAUUCGCAUAUAUGUACAGGUAUGCGCUGGAAUUCGGUGUUCUCCCUUUCAUACUAAUUCAUUCACCUUAAGCAGAAUAUUUGAAAAGUCCUGCAUGAUUUUUAAGGAUCUUGAAUCAGAAUUCUGAAAUUUUUUCAUCCCAAAGAAGCUAAAUCUAGCUAAAAUAUUCAAAUUAGAAUUCAAAGAGAAGAGGAUAAAAUAGACUUUGAUACGAUUUAUUAUGCAUUCACAUAAUAAAGAAAGGAUGAAAAAUUCAACAUUCCUAAAAUUUCAAAAGCAAUUUGAAUCGAAUCGAAUAGCAUUCAGAAGGCGCCAUAAAAAGAGACUCGGUAAUCGAUCAGUCUUUGAUCGCUUUGAUCGUCACGGGUGUUUAUCGGUCAGCAGCAGCAUUCCGUGCAUAUGCAACCGCACACCUAAGAUGGAUGCACGGAGAUGAGAGAAAGUCGGAGAUCCUGGCCUCGAGGUUGUCUUCGAGAAUGUAACGAAGCGUUCGUAUGCACGCGCGCGAUUCUUGCCAGCAGAUAGGCGUGAACGUGUCGCGAGGAAAAUGUCAUUGGAUGCACUCUUGCCAUCCCACACUCUAAUAUCAUUCUUAUUAAUUUUCCUUCUUUCUUUCUCCAUCCAUGAAAUCAUAUCGAUUGUAUUCGUAAUACAAAAUUUCAGAGAAAAUCAACGUUGUGAAGAAAAUAUGUUUUAAUUAAAAUCAUGUAAAUAUUCUUCAAUCUUCUUUUGAUUCUCUUUUGUGGUAUUGGAAACAACUUAUGAUUCAAGGAAAAUUAAUUAAUGUAGAGUUUUUGAUGAUACAAGGUUAAUGCUCAAAAAAUCUUUAAAUAAAAUUAUUUUUUAUAUUUGUGGAAUUAAUUUUAAAUUAACGAAUUAAAUUAAAACAAUUCUCGAAUUUAUGAAAGGGAUUUCGAUCGAGAAUUCUAUUUCGAAUUCUCUUCAGAAUUCAUGUAUUAAUUGAAAAUUGUAAAAUGAUCGAAACUAAAAUCCUUGUUAAUAAAAAGUUGUUAAUAGCGGAUAGCUAUUACAUUCGAUACGAUUAAAUUAAGGUUUAUUAGCGGCGUAUUUUCCAUUGAAACGAGCCACUUAGCAGCCAGUAGCCGAGAAACGAAGGUAGAUACCGAGUUCCUUUGUAAUAGCACACGCGGCAAUAAGUAAACAGUCGGGAGAAUGGUUGAUGCAUGCGGCCUCAUUAUUCUCCCUCGUCAAUCGGAUUGUUUCGAAUUAAUAAUUCACCGUUCCAGUUUAUAUGUCACUAUGCAUCCUUGUUAUGCAUUAAACGAUCGAUAAACAAUUUAACAAUUAUUACUCAGCAAUUAAUAUGAUCGAAUAUUGGUACGCGUACAAUUCGAAUAAUUUUAAUUGAUGAUAUUAAAAUUUCUUGUCGAGCAAAAAAAUGGAAUAAAAAAAUGGAAUGUCGAGAAUGUAUAAAGAAAUGAAGGCUCGUUUAUUGUAAAAAAAAAAAAAUAAAAAAUAAAAAAGAAUUAGAUCGAAUCGAAGAAUGCUUAUGAAUUAAAGAAAAUAAGUUUCUGAAAGUAAAAAUAGUUUCUUCACUUUCUUUCACUUGACGAGAGAAGAAAUAAGAAUUAUUAUGAUAAUGAUACUUUAACGUGUUUAGAAUUUCCUCUGGAGUUAUUUCAAGCGAAUAAAGUUUCAAGAAGAGGAUCGUUGUGGGAAAGCUAUGGAAGAAUCGAAAUUGCUCGCUCUUGGAACGCGGCCGGAACACGUGCGUAUUCACGCCAAGAGGGACGCCAUUACAACCGCCUAUGAGAAGAAACGCACGAGCCCAUUGUUUCAAUAGGUUUUUCUACCUGUCCUGACUAAUAAUAUCUUGAAAUUUGUUUUUCAAAUCAGGACUCUGGGAUUUUCCAUCAAUAAUCACCUCUAUCGAUCGUGAAUGUUUUAUGACAUUAUCUCUAAUAUCUUUAAAUCCCGAGGUAACACUCCUUACUUGCAAUUAAUAAUUUUUCAAAUAAUGGAAAAAAAAUGGUAAUGGAAAAAAUAUAUAAAAUCCAUCGAUUUUAAUCGUAAUUAUGAGAGGAAGAUUUUUUUAAAAUUUUUAAUUCUAAUCUACCAUAGAUGUAAUAAUAGAAAAACCAGAAUAUUGUUGGUUUUAUCAUAAGAAACUUGUGCAAGAAUUACUCACCGGCUACGAAAUCCAGAUGACAUUAUAAAACACCGAAACCAACGAUAAAGGAAUCAGUUCCACAGUGCAAACAGUUCAACAGUCACUUUACAGUGAAGAUUCACCUUUCGGCUUCGAGAAAAAUUAUUACACUUAAACAAAUCCUUCACUGUCGCAAGAACUCGCGAAUAUCUAGUCGAGAUCUCGGCUCGUAAAAUGGAAAAGGAUCGUUCGGCACGCUCAGCUAUUUCAAAUCUUCUAUGCCAUCCUUGUUGAAACGUUCCACGAUCUAUUCUUCCUUCUUCUCAAUCAGAACAUGAAAAAUAAAAACGUCCCUUGUUAAACAAUAUCAAUAACAAUGAUCCAACAGAAAUUCUAUUCCAAUAGAAAUUCAAAUAUAGAUCCGAACUUCCUUUCAAGAAAGAUCACAAUGGGUUUCAAGGAUCACGGUGAACCUUCAAUACCUGUUAUUAUUCAAAAUCUAAAUAGAUAGGUCCUUUCGAUUACUCUUUGGAAAAAUACUUAGGUAGAAGAACCAGGUAGCAGAAGAGGUACUAAAGAGAUAUAUCAAAAAAAGAAGAAAUAGGAUUAUUUAUAUUAAUCGAACCUUUCGAUUCCAAUCCUGAAGAAAUUGAAUUAUUCGUGGCCGCGGAGGACACUAACGAUCGGGCGCAGGUUCGCCGGUUCGAGGCGUGACUGUUAUCAACGGGAGAGGAAAAGCUCCGAUAGUCCGGCCGUGGUGAACGACAGCGUAACAUCGACUGCGUGUAGCGAACUCGACGUGUUUCCAGGUGGAAUGUGUGCGCUAGUAGGCACAAGCCAGAGAGUACACCGUGGCCGAUGAAACGAGCGGAGAAACUAAAGUCCCAUAGGAUACACGCUUUGCUUCUAUACGCUGUAUACACUUAGAUAGUUAUGAAGGCAGGUGCCGGCAGUCAGGUGAACGUGGCGGAACACAGGAAGUGCCAGAGACAGAGAGGCAUUACAAAACUGUGGAAUGGUGGGGACGGGGCAAAGGACGAUAGAGGAAAGAAGAGAAAAGAGAGGAAUACCGUGUGACUCGAGAAGUCGCGUGCCCCUUGUCGAUGAAAUUAAUUUCCCUUCGUGAAUCUGUUGUUUCGCGAUUUUCAAAUUCCUCGAAAUGCUGUGUCGAGUGCUUAGAAAUAUCCCAUGAGUUGUUCAUUAUGCAUUACCAUGCAUUAACAAUAACUUUCUAUUCAGUAAACACAUUACAGACAUUCAAUUUAUUCGCAGACUUGCUAUUCAGACAUUCUAAUCGUUUUUGUUUUACUUGAGAAAGGUUUAGGUACGAAUAUCAUAUAGCUUUGAAAUAUACGUUUGCUCGAUAUCGAAAUUCUUAAAGGAAAAUUGCUUAUCCUUCCAUUCACACCAUAAAUAGCCAAUGAAACAGUGAUGGUGAUUCUUAGAAUUAUCAGGCACGCUUUAAACUUGAUUAGUGACGAAACGAUUGACUAAUACGAUAUUCAACACGGUUCGACAAAUACCUUCCUUUCUUCGUCUCAUUAAAAUCGACGAUUAAUGAAAACGAGCGUGGAGGUUGUUUCCAUGAAUCACAUGAAUCACAUUUUCUAAAGAGUAGAGCAAGGAAUUUCAAGAUGUCGUUGCGUUAUCAAUCCACCACCCCAUCUCUCGGCCGCAACGAAACGUAAAUACAUAGCGUAUAGGGCUGUGUUGUUAUGCUACUUGCGACUCCAGGAAUAACUUGCAAGGCAUAGCCCCACCUUUGCGAUCCACGUGCGUGUAUGCGGUACGCCAUAUUUCCCGCAUGCAACAGUGCACGUAUGUGCAACACAUCCGACAAAGUCGUUGACUGGAAAACGAGCACUGGGCCUAGGAAGGAACAUGAGGAACGGCAGCGGCACGUUCUUCAUACGCUCGUUUAUUCGCACUUUUACCCGGUUCGUUUAAGUGUAGCCGGUUUGUUUAUCGAUACUUCUUGUUUUUAGGACCGAAACUUUGUUAUCCUCGUGAUAUCUUGAUAUUCUGAUACGGUAAUAUGCUUUGAGACAUCUUCAAGUUUCAAAUUAGAACGUGUCCAAUAACAAUGAAUAUCAUGGAAUGUUUACAAAUUUGUUAUUAAUAAAAAAUUUUUUUAAUAAAUAAAAAAGAAUAUUUGAAAUA